UGCAAGUCGAACGGCAGCACGGAGCUUGCUCUGGUGGCGAGUGGCGAACGGGUGAGUAAUAUAUCGGAACGUACCCUAGAGUGGGGGAUAACGUAGCGAAAGUUACGCUAAUACCGCAUACGAUCUAAGGAUGAAAGUGGGGGAUCGCAAGACCUCAUGCUCGUGGAGCGGCCGAUAUCUGAUUAGCUAGUUGGUAGGGUAAAAGCCUACCAAGGCAUCGAUCAGUAGCUGGUCUGAGAGGACGACCAGCCACACUGGAACUGAGACACGGUCCAGACUCCUACGGGAGGCAGCAGUGGGGAAUUUUGGACAAUGGGCGAAAGCCUGAUCCAGCAAUGCCGCGUGAGUGAAGAAGGCCUUCGGGUUGUAAAGCUCUUUUGUCAGGGAAGAAACGGUGAGGGCUAAUAUCUCUUGCUAAUGACGGUACCUGAAGAAUAAGCACCGGCUAACUACGUGCCAGCAGCCGCGGUAAUACGUAGGGUGCAAGCGUUAAUCGGAAUUACUGGGCGUAAAGCGUGCGCAGGCGGUUUUGUAAGUCUGAUGUGAAAUCCCCGGGCUCAACCUGGGAAUUGCAUUGGAGACUGCAAGGCUAGAAUCUGGCAGAGGGGGGUAGAAUUCCACGUGUAGCAGUGAAAUGCGUAGAUAUGUGGAGGAACACCGAUGGCGAAGGCAGCCCCCUGGGUCAAGAUUGACGCUCAUGCACGAAAGCGUGGGGAGCAAACAGGAUUAGAUACCCUGGU
Molecule: ribosomal RNA, 740 nt
Filed under: Janthinobacterium sp. Y4_293_3
Lineage: Bacteria; Pseudomonadati; Pseudomonadota; Betaproteobacteria; Burkholderiales; Oxalobacteraceae
Description: bacterial SSU rRNA
Rfam family: Bacterial small subunit ribosomal RNA
Source: RNAcentral